Long non-coding RNA from Helianthus annuus (common sunflower), 354 nucleotides. RefSeq lists it as uncharacterized. NCBI's taxonomy places the organism in Eukaryota, Viridiplantae, Streptophyta, Magnoliopsida, Asterales, Asteraceae. The record is from RefSeq and is a predicted model, not a curated record. The transcript has 2 exons.
UUUCUAUAUUCACAUAUGGAGAAAGCCAUUACAUUCAAGUAUGUUAUAGUCACUGCAUUACUAAUCACCACAGUGGUUGGAGUUAGCCAUCCUUUGGGUGUAGACGGGGAAAAUUGCUUUCGGAAAUCUUGUCGAGUUGGAGCUCCCGGGACGAACAUAUGUCCUCCUCCCUCAUGCACAGCUAAAUAUGAUUGUUUGAAAUAUUGUGUUCCGAAUCCUGAACCCUUUUGUCAAGGUGGUACAUGUUGUUGUUGGUAAAGCAUGUGUUCAAUGAAGUAAGAAUGAUAAAUCCUAAUAAACUUAAGUGUAAUUUUUGGGGUUUCAUGGUUGAGUUAUUGGUCUCUUUACUAUCAA